UUGCUUGUUNUNCAAAGAUUAAGCCAUGCAUGUGUAAGUACGAGCCUUCCUUAGGGUGAAACCGCAAACGGCUCAUUAAAUCAGUCAUAAUUUAUUGGUUGUCGUUAUCUUAUACUCGGAUAACUGUGGCAAUUCUAGAGCUAAUACGUGCACUUGAGCUCCGACGCCGGGAGGAGUACGAACUUUUUUGUUCUUCUUUUCCCGGGGGAAGGGCGCAGUUAUUAGAAUCCUAAACCGAGGCGGACUCUCGAGUCCGAAUCCACUUGGCUAUGGUGACUCUGGAUAACGUUUGCCAAGCGCUGAGGCCAUCGAGCCGGCGCUGCAUCUUUUUCGAGUGACUGACCUAUCAGCUGUCGAUCGUAGCGUAUAGGCCUACGAUGGCAGUAACGGGUAACGGGGAAUCAGGGUUCGAUUCCGGAGAGGGAGCCUGAGAAACGGCUACCACAUCUAAGGAAGGCAGCAGGCACGCAAAUUACCCAAUCCCAGCUCUGGGAGGUAGUGACGAUAAAUACCGAUGCGGGACUCAUCCGAGGCCUCGCAAUCGGAAUGAGCCCACUUUAAAAAAUUGGGCGAGGAUCGAUUGGAGGGCAAGUCUGGUGCCAGCAGCCGCGGUAAUUCCAGCUCCAAUAGCGUAUAUUAAAGUUGUNNNNNNNNNNNNNAAAGCAGGCACAACCUUUUAUGCCCGCAUAGUAAUGCAUUGAAUGAUGGAACAGGACCUCGAUUCAGACCGUAUUUUCUCCUCGGUUUUAUCCGAAUCGGAGGUAAUGAUUAACGGGGACGGCCGGGGGCAUUAGUAUUGCGACGCGAGGGGUGAAAUCCAGUGACCGUCGCAAGACUACCUACUGCGAAAGCAUUUGCCAAGAAUGUUUUCAUUAAUCAAGAACGAAAGUUAGAGGAUCGAAGGCGAUCAGAUACCGCCCUAGUUCUAACCUUAAACUAUGCCAACUAGCGAUCCGUGCGAAGUCAUAUCCAAAGACUGCGCGGGCAGCCCCAGGGAAACCAAAGUUUUUAGGUUCCGGGGGUAGUAUGGUUGCAAAGCUGAAACUUAAAGGAAUUGACGGAAGGGCACCACCAGGAGUGGAGCCUGCGGCUUAAUUUGACUCAACACGGGGAACCUCACCAGGCCCGGACACCGGAAGGAUUGACAGAUUGAGAGCUCUUUCUCGAUUCGGUGGUUGGUGGUGCAUGGCCGUUCUUAGUUGGUGGAGCGAUUUGUCUGGUUAAUUCCGAUAACGAACAAGACUCUAUCCUACUAACUAGUCGGCGGAUCGUUUCCCGAGACGGGUUUAACUCUCUCUCCCGACUCGUUGGCCGGUUGGGCGGCGGCGUUGAGGCGUCGGUUCUUCUCGCGCGAUUGUUCCUCUACUCGCGGGGCUCCUUACAACAGGGGGUUUCGCGGCGUAGUUGGAGCGUCGCGCGCUAAAGGGGAGGAUCGAUCCGCUUCCGCCGUCGUUCGCCGCCGCGGGAAAGGGUUUUUGAGAGUCCCAACGAGGGGCGUCCGUCGUGUUAAUCUUCUUAGGGGGACCGGCGGUCUUGAACCGUACGAGAUUGAGCAAUAACAGGUCUGUGAUGCCCUUAGAUGUCCUGGGCCGCACGCGUGCUACAAUGGAGGGAGCAACGUGCUUUCCCCCUCCGAGAGGAGUGGGUAACCCCAUGAAACCCCUUCCCGAUUGGGAUUGGGGGUUGCAAUUGUUCCCAUGAACGAGGAAUCCCUUGUAAGCGCGGGUCAUGAGCUCGCGAUGAAUACGUCCCUGCCCUUUGUACACACCGCCCGUCGCUACUACCGAUGAAUGAUUAAGUGAGAGCGUCGGACCGGCGCCCUCGGCAGCCUCUCGGAUCGCUAACGCCGAGCCUAACGGACAAAGCUAUCUUCUAUACUCUUCGGAGAGAGUCGAUGGCGGUCAUUCGUUAACGCUCGGUAGACCGAGUAGAGCGCCCCGGGCUUGGCCGGAAAGACGUCCGAACUUGAUUAUUUAGAGGAAGUAAAAGUCGUAACAAGGUAUCUGUAGGUGAACCUNGGGAAAGGAUCA
Molecule: ribosomal RNA, 2030 nt
Filed under: Sphaeromopsis sp. RW04.266
Lineage: Eukaryota; Metazoa; Arthropoda; Malacostraca; Isopoda; Sphaeromatidae
Description: SSU rRNA
Rfam family: Eukaryotic small subunit ribosomal RNA
Source: RNAcentral